This 1266-nucleotide long non-coding RNA is filed under the name Oncorhynchus kisutch (coho salmon). RNAcentral's name for it is "lncRNA (ENSOKIG00005002122.1)". The record is from RNAcentral. Lineage: Eukaryota; Metazoa; Chordata; Actinopteri; Salmoniformes; Salmonidae.
UAAAUAAAUGUAAUGAAAUGGAAAUGCUUUAUUAUAGUGGGCCAAAUUCUAUACUCCCUGUCAUAUAGGCUUAUUUAUUGGUUUCAAGCAUGUCACUAAUAUUUACAAAGUUCUUAGGAAUUAUAUUUUCAAAGUAGACAAACAGCUGUCUUACAAACUCAUCUUUUCCCCUGCUUGCAGCCUCAACCGUCCACCAAAGUCUGUUCUCCUGAGCUGCCCUGUGAUCUGCCAUUCCAAAAUACAGUGAGCAGUUACCUGCAAAUAAUUGUAUCAAUCCACACUGUCUUGUCUUUGGAUCUCUUAACCUGUCCCAGGAAAACACAACUGGACCAGUGGCACAGGAGUGGUUUAAAGAUGGGCUGGAAUGGUGGCCUCUUUAUAUAAAGACAGGAAUACAAUUAUUGACUGUCAAGAAAAGGUCAACUCCAAACCCCCACAAAAAGCUACCCUCAUUGUCCUCAUCACCCCCGCUGUCCUCGGAGGAGGAAGAAUACCCACCCCCAUGUUCAUCUUCACCUCUGCCUCCACCAACCCCUUUUACAAAAUAUAGGCGCCCCUUACAGAGAUGGUUUAUAAAAGUUAACUCACCAGGCAUUCUACUACCAACUGACCACUUACUUACCCUAAAGUAAACUUAACCCUAACCAUUUGCAGUGUUGAUAGUUUGAGUAUCUAUACGGUUUAGAAUAUUUAGGGACUGGUCCAAAUACAGUGUGAUCAACAACAUGAAUGAAUGAAUGAUUGUUCACCUCAAGCCACAAGACCCAGUUGGAGACCAGAGAUGGAGACGAGCAGCGUCAGUCGGGCAUCAAGGGCCGACCUUUUCAGGAUCAGUUGAAAGGAUCGACCUUGAAAAGCUGGGUGGGCUUCAGCUCAAGGUGGCGCAUCUGACUAAACUUAUACAAGAAGUGCAACUGCAACAGCUCUACCGGGCCAAGAACCACAGAGGGAUGAGGAGGACAGGGAACCCAUACUGCGACAACUUACAUUGUAGGAGCUCUAUGACUUCAAAUGAGAGACUUGGACCUGCACAUUAAACAUUUUUUAAAUAUGUUCUCUAACCCUUUCAUGGGCUACAUAGAGGGAUUCACAACAACUGUGUUACAGUAGAAUUCUUAAUAACCUUUGUGUUCUAGCCCAUCAGUUGUUCCUUAUAUUUGAUCUACCGUCACAUGAGCUCACCCAGCAGCAGUUAAAGUGUGUAUAGUGUUGGAAUACAGCCAAUAGGAAUUGGCUACAGUGCCCUGGUGGAAUGGGUUAAGAAAG